GACGAACGCUGGCGGCGUGCUUAACACAUGCAAGUCGAACGGAAAGGCCCUGCUUUUGUGGGGUGCUCGAGUGGCGAACGGGUGAGUAACACGUGAGUAACCUGCCCUUGACUUUGGGAUAACUUCAGGAAACUGGGGCUAAUACCGGAUAGGAGCUCCUGCUGCAUGGUGGGGGUUGGAAAGUUUCGGCGGUUGGGGAUGGACUCGCGGCUUAUCAGCUUGUUGGUGGGGUAGUGGCUUACCAAGGCUUUGACGGGUAGCCGGCCUGAGAGGGUGACCGGCCACAUUAGUACUGAGAUACGGCCCAGACUCCUACGGGAGGCAGCAGUGGGGAAUAUUGCACAAUGGGCGGAAGCCUGAUGCAGCAACGCCGCGUGCGGGAUGACGGCCUUCGGGUUGUAAACCGCUUUCGCCUGUGACGAAGCGUGAGUGACGGUAAUGGGUAAAGAAGCACCGGCUAACUACGUG
This 468-nucleotide ribosomal RNA is filed under the name uncultured bacterium. RNAcentral's name for it is "partial 16S ribosomal RNA". It matches the Rfam family "Bacterial small subunit ribosomal RNA", at positions 28 to 507 of the family's 1533-position model. The record is from RNAcentral.